GAUUUAAUUAUUUUUAUCUUAGUCAUAUGUACUAAGAUAAAAAAAAAACGAUUUGAUCAAUUCUAAGCAUAUAUUUAGAAUUUGAUCGAGUUUGAAUAUGGUUGUGGUUUGGCUCUAGUUUUAUAUGCUAGAGAAUUGGGUUGAAAUAGUUUGUUUCCAAAGACUUGGUAUAGAGAAGAGGUUGGAUUAGGUUGUGCAUGAUUGAGGUUAGGUUUGGACUUUGAUUUGGUUAUUAUGGUAUAGGUUUCAUGUAUGG
This 256-nucleotide long non-coding RNA is filed under the name Ananas comosus (pineapple). Its description in RNAcentral is "long non-coding RNA (ACOM_LNC020778)". The record is from RNAcentral. Lineage: Eukaryota; Viridiplantae; Streptophyta; Magnoliopsida; Poales; Bromeliaceae.